Molecule: ribosomal RNA, 437 nt
Filed under: Winogradskyella sp. HR07-30
Lineage: Bacteria; Pseudomonadati; Bacteroidota; Flavobacteriia; Flavobacteriales; Flavobacteriaceae
Description: bacterial SSU rRNA
Rfam family: Bacterial small subunit ribosomal RNA
Source: RNAcentral
GUAUACAAUCUGCCUUUUACAGGGGGAUAGCCUUUAGAAAUGAAGAUUAAUAUCCCAUAGUAAGUUGUUAUUGCAUGAUAGUAACUUUAAAGUUUCGGCGGUAAAAGAUGAGUAUGCGUUCUAUUANCUAGAUGGUGUGGUAACGGCACACCAUGGCGACGAUAGAUAGGGGCCCUGAGAGGGGGAUCCCCCACACUGGUACUGAGACACGGACCAGACUCCUACGGGAGGCAGCAGUGAGGAAUAUUGGACAAUGGGCGAGAGCCUGAUCCAGCCAUGCCGCGUGCAGGAAGACUGCCCUAUGGGUUGUAAACUGCUUUUAUACAGGAAGAAACCUUUUCACGUGUGAAAAGCUGACGGUACUGUAAGAAUAAGGAUCGGCUAACUCCGUGCCAGCAGCCGCGGUAAUACGGAGGAUCCAAGCGUUAUCCGGAAUC